CUGUUCCUCUAGCAUCUUUCAAAUGUCUCUCAGGACAACUGGGAAUUAGAGAAUCUUGCAUUACUUCGAGACAAUACUUGACGGUGAUGGUAAGUCUUGGUGAGGAAUGAAGUAUAAAGCCAUUGAUCCCCACGUAUAACAUGUCAGUCAAUUUAUAGAGUAAAUGUGAACUACAAUUGAGUUCUUACCAAGUCUUCUCUCUUUGUAUUUGUAAGAGGAUUAUUUGAAGGAGCUGAAUAGCAUUUUUUUCAUAGCCAGUUAUUGCUGCAGCAAAUGAUCGAGCCAAAAAGCAAAUAGAAGCUCUAGAUAAUAUUCUUCCUUUUUAUAUUUCAGGUGGGCAAUUUUAUCUUUUUCAAUCGCUAAAGAACUACUUUUUCCAUUUACUUUUAGAAUUUUUAUAGUACCAGUUUCUAGAAACAAAAGAACUACUCUUUCCGUUCCACUUUAUGUGACCUGAUCCAUAGUACGAAUAAAUGUACAUAUUUAAAAACUAAAUAAAAUGUACUAUAAGUUACGAUAGUUAACAAUUCAAAAUAGUUUAAAUAUUAAAUCGUGUUCAAAUACAACAUCUUCAACUCUCCAAAUAGUAACUAGAUCACACAAAUUGGAACAGAGGGAGUGUAAGCUUUCCAUGUGACCCUGGUUCUAUUUGUUUUUAUACUGUUGAGUUGUACUUGCAAUUUAUGUAAUUUCAAAGUAAUAUAGUCUAUGAGCAAUAACAACCUGGUGAAAGAAAGUUCUUAUUAUUAAUUUCCUUUUUAAAUAUAAAAUAUAUAGUAGUUAAAUGUUGUUAGCUUUACGACCAAUUCACUCUUCUCUGGUCAACAUGUUCUAAUGGCAAUAGCAAAGCAGUUUUAAACAUCUGCUAGCCAACAGUAUCUGAAAUUGUCAAGGAAGGAAUCAUGAGAAUUCCUACAUCUCAUUUUUGAUCAAAAAAGAGAAUUCGCACAUCUCUUUAUUUAUAACUGAUUAAGUUAUUUGGUGCAGGCCACUGGGAGAUAUAAAUUUUGCAUGUGGUUUUGCUUUUGUAGACUACUGUUGUAUACCAUUCUCUUCGUAAAUCUUCAUAGUAAUAGUGACACUUUAUUUUUGAUCACUUUCCAUUCCCUGUCUCUAAUUGUGUUUCUGGUUUAAGUCUUUUCCUAAUUAUUUACAGAAAAGUACGACAGUUGAAUUAUUGAUCGUAUCUCAUUCCCAAGUGACAAGUCUAAUAUAAAUUUUCUGUGCAGUUUCAAAAAAAUUCAAUGCUGAAAUAAUUUUAAUUAUAGAAGAAUAAAGUACCCAUUUGUCAAUCUUUAACGAUAAAAGUUAUUUGAACUUUUUGUUAAUGUAAGGGAGAACUGUCAUGGUUAAUGAAAUAGUCUUCCUAUGAAUGUUUCAUUAUGUUUGUUAACAGCCAGUUAUGCUGUCUGUACCUGAAUCAUAUUAGCAAAUUACCAUUAAAUGAGCUAACAAUAUUGUAGUUGCUCUUUCAGAUUCAUUUUGCACUAGAAGUUAGUAUUACUGAAUGCAGACUAAAGAAACCAGUAUACUGAAUUAGUUGUUCUGACUAAUGCCAAAAAGAUGAGUUAGUCAUUGAAAACUCUCAUGACAUGCUUACAAUUUUUUGUGUUCUGGUGAAACAGUUAAUUACAGUUGAGCAACACAUUCAUGUUCAGUAGUGCACCAUCUGCAUUUGACAUUUUAAUAAACUAAAGCUAAAACAUUUCAUGGUGAGAGUUGAUACGUAAACUCUCUGGGUCUCUUCUAUCCAGCAACAAGACUAUUGCAGAUAGUUCGAACCCUAUGCCUCAAAGAUUGUGAUACUACUGCUACAGUACUAGGGGAGGAAGAUAUGAUUUCUGACUUUUGGUAGAUUGGAGUAUCAAAUGUAUUGAACUUUAAUGCAUGUUUAACACUGUUGUUCGACGGAGCCACCUGCCACAAAAUCCACUUCCAAAUAUGAUAGAAUGCUAUAGUUGAGGCAUUUUAUUAAUCCUAAACUUGACCUAUAUAGUGGGAGUCUCACAUUUUAUUGGUCGACAUUCUGUCCAACAAUUGAAAAAUUUAGCCGAUACAAUCUGAAGUCAUGAAGGAAAGAAUCAUGAGAAUACCAAUUUGAGCACCUUUUAUGUGCCGAACUUCGGUGAUUCUCAGGUAGAGAUGACCUUCACGGUUCUCUCACCUAGCUAAUGCUGCAAAACAGAUGGGAAAUACAAGAACUGUAGAGAUUUUAGGAGAAAGCUCUGCAAGUGGGAAGAUUUGUAGAUUGCUACUAUUAUUUUCAAUUUAUAUUGUCUGCCAUAAUAUAAAGACUUUGAGGUAUUGCGUUAUGCUUUAGUCUUUGUUUUUUCGAUUGAAGGUGCGACCGAAGGAGUCUUACCUUCCAGAAUGCUUAUGCUAUGUUACAUUAGUUUUACUGUAUGAAGAUAAGAGGAGACUACCUUCCGUUACUCUUUUCAUUCUGUUUUUCACUUUCCAGCGGACCUCCAGGCAAUGCUUUUGGUCAUCAUCUCAAACAAGGAAUAUAUAGAUAAAUUUAUGAUCUUCUGCAACUGUUUUUAAUUUCAUGCUGGAAGAUGAAGAAGCUGAGAGAUAUAGGACUUUCUGCAACUAGAAAUAUUAUUUCUACACUUACCUUGAAGCGUUUGCAUGUUAUAUAACUUGGGAAUUGGGCAAAGAGAUGGUUCCACAAAAUAUUAAGAACUCCAAAACUAACUGCUCUGUCCAGGUUGUGGACAAGUAGGCGAAAGGUGGUGCUUGGCUGCUUUAGUGUUUCAUACGUGAGAGGUUGUGAAAAAGUAGGCGAAAGGUAUUGUUUUGGCUGCUUUAGUGGUUCAUAAUCAAGAGGCAAUGUCAACUCUGUUGAAUUGAAAAGAUUGCUUUUAGCCUAUGUUCUUGCUCUUAUUUUCUCCUCCUGCGUUUACUUCUUAGCAUUGCUUAAGUUUUGUAAUUGCAGGUUCUAAUAUUUUUGUUGUAUACUGCAACAAAAGAAGGCUUGGAAUGAUAGACUUUCAAAACGAAUGCAUUUUUUUUUUGCCACUUUGUAAAUAUGUGGGAA
Lycium ferocissimum is the source of this 3040-nucleotide long non-coding RNA. RefSeq lists it as uncharacterized. NCBI's taxonomy places the organism in Eukaryota, Viridiplantae, Streptophyta, Magnoliopsida, Solanales, Solanaceae. The transcript has 3 exons. The record is from RefSeq and is a predicted model, not a curated record.